Molecule: small RNA, 282 nt
Filed under: Pongo abelii (Sumatran orangutan)
Lineage: Eukaryota; Metazoa; Chordata; Mammalia; Primates; Hominidae
Rfam family: Metazoan signal recognition particle RNA (bases 1-148)
About the family: The signal recognition particle (SRP) is a universally conserved ribonucleoprotein. It is involved in the co-translational targeting of proteins to membranes.
Source: RNAcentral
GCCAGGCAUGGUGGCACAUGCCUGUAAUCCCAGCUACUCAGGAGGCUGAGGCAGGAGAAUCACUUGAACCCAGGAGGCGGAGAUUGCAGUGAGCUGAGAUCGUGCCACUGCACUCUAGCCUGGGUGACAGAGUGAGAUUCUGACUCAAAAACAAACAAAAAAAGUGGCCGAGCUCAGUGUCUCAAGCCUGUAAUCCCAGCACUUUGGAAGGCCGAGGUGGGUGGAUCACCUGAGGUCAGGAGUUCGAGACCAGCCUAGCUAACAUGGUGAAAGCCUGUCUCU